RNAcentral lists this ribosomal RNA (497 nucleotides) under uncultured bacterium. RNAcentral's name for it is "partial 16S ribosomal RNA". It matches the Rfam family "Bacterial small subunit ribosomal RNA", at positions 28 to 507 of the family's 1533-position model. The record is from RNAcentral.
GAUGAACGCUGGCGGCGUGCCUAAUACAUGCAAGUCGAGCGAACAGACGAGGAGCUUGCUCCUCUGACGUUAGCGGCGGACGGGUGAGUAACACGUGGAUAACCUACCUAUAAGACUGGGAUAACUUCGGGAAACCGGAGCUAAUACCGGAUAAUAUAUUGAACCGCAUGGUUCAAUAGUGAAAGACGGUUUUGCUGUCACUUAUAGAUGGAUCCGCGCCGCAUUAGCUAGUUGGUAAGGUAACGGCUUACCAAGGCAACGAUGCGUAGCCGACCUGAGAGGGUGAUCGGCCACACUGGAACUGAGACACGGUCCAGACUCCUACGGGGGGCAGCAGUAGGGAAUCUUCCGCAAUGGUCGAAAGCCUGACGGAGCAACGCCGCGUGAGUGAUGAAGGUCUUCGGAUCGUAAACCUCUGUUAUUAGGGAAGAACAAAUGUGUAAGUAACUAUGCACGUCUUGACGGUACCUAAUCAGAAAGCCACGGCUAACUACGUG